AAGCUUUUGUUUUGGGGAAUUCCGUUCCGUUUCGUUCCACGGAGUGCCGCUCCUGGUGAUCUAGUGGCACUCCGUGGAACGAAACGGAACGGUUCCACGAUUAUUAACGA
Molecule: microRNA precursor, 110 nt
Filed under: Haemonchus contortus (barber pole worm)
Lineage: Eukaryota; Metazoa; Nematoda; Chromadorea; Rhabditida; Trichostrongylidae
Description: microRNA hco-mir-5926 precursor
Source: miRBase by way of RNAcentral